This 494-nucleotide ribosomal RNA is filed under the name uncultured bacterium. Its description in RNAcentral is "partial 16S ribosomal RNA". It matches the Rfam family "Bacterial small subunit ribosomal RNA", at positions 28 to 507 of the family's 1533-position model. The record is from RNAcentral.
GACGAACGCUGGCGGCGUGCUUAACACAUGCAAGUCGAACGGAAAGGCCUGCUUUCCCUUGUGGAUUGCGGGUACUCGAGUGGCGAACGGGUGAGUAACACGUGAGUGAUCUGCCCCCAACUUGGGUAUAAGCCUGGGAAACUGGGUCUAAUUCCCGAUAGGACUGCAGGGUGGUGCCUGUGUUGGAAAACGAUUUUCUAGUGGUUGGGGAUGAGCUCGCGGCCUAUCAGCUUGUUGGUGGGGUAAUGGCCUACCAAGGCGGCGACGGGUAGCCGGCCUGAGAGGGUGGACGGCCACAUUGGGACUGAGAUACGGCCCAGACGCCUACGGGAGGCAGCAGUGGGGAAUAUUGCACAAUGGGCGGAAGCCUGAUGCAGCGACGCCGCGUGGGGGAUGACGGCCUUCGGGUUGUAAACUCCUUUCGACCGCGAGGAAGCCACCUGGUUGGAAGGGUGGUGACGGUAGUGGUAGAAGAAGCACCGGCUAACUACGUG